GCCCAGCUGUGCACAGCCGCUCGGGGCUGCACCGGGACCCCCCCCCGCCGCCAGGCCGGCCCUGCUCCGGCUUCCUGGGGGAGAGGAAGCCCGGCGGGGUGGGCUGCCGGCUUCCUGCCUUUGUCUGCCUGCCGCGGGGGGCCGCAGGGGAAGGCCCCUUCCUUCCCCUCGGCCCCACGGUGGGAGCCGAGCCGGCAGCGCCGCGAUGCUCCGGUUCUGCCCGCUGCCACCGCCGCCACCGCCGCCACCGCCGCCAUGGCCCUGCUCCUGCCUCUGCUGGGUACGUGCCACCCCCCCGCCGGGCCACCCGCCGCGACGCCACCCACCCCUCACCGCUCCCCCCCUCUCUCCGCAGCCUUCCUGCAGACCCUGCCGGCGCCCGGGCACCCCGCAGGUGAGCGGGGCGCCGACCCCGGGGUGGGGGGCACCCGCGUCCCGGCCCCGCUGCCCCCAUUUUUCUCUUGCAGAGCUGCUGCCGGCCCCCACCCUGGUGAUGCUGCCGGGACGCUUGGACCUCCGCGGCCCCGGCGGGGACGAGGCCGUCACCCUGCGCUGCCUGGCGCCCAUCACCGCGCGGGUGGCCUUGUACCUCUUCUACCGGCGGGCAGAGCCCCGGAGCCCCCGCACGAACUUCAGGAACUCCUCGGUGCCCGACAUCAAGGACACGGCGCUGCCCGGCCUCUACUCCUGCGCCUACAUGGAGCCCGGCCACCGCGGGGGGGGACCGUCCCUCGAGAGCCCCCUGACCCCCUUCUUGCCGCCGUGGGGCCACCUGCCCACCAUGCACCCGGGGGUCCCGACCGCGCCGGCGCCGUGGGACAACGGCACCGCCGGCCACCGCCGUCUCGUCCCCGGCCGCUCGGCCUCCUGCCGCCGGCACCCGAGCCCGGCCUUCGCCGCCGCCGCCCUCGCCUUCCUGCUGCCCCGCGGCUGCCGCUAGCGGCGAGGUGAGCAGAGGCCGCGGCCCCUUCCCCUCCCGGCUCACCCCGGUGCUCUUCUCCGGCGGGGAAAAACUCAGUUUAAAAUCUCACCCGCUUUUUUUUUCCCCCCAUCCCGCCAGAUUCCCGCGCUCGGCGCCCGCCGUCGCUGCCCGGCCCCGCGAAACGCCGACCGGCAGCGGCGUUCGGAGGUGCUCAGGAAACGCCCGGCUCCGAGCGGACCCUCAGCUUUCUCCCCCCGUGUUACUGCAAUAACCCGUUGCACAGAUGUAUUAUCUAUACAAUAACCCUCACAUAGGUAGAUCUGAUACACGAUAACCGUCGCAUAGGUGUGCGGUGUCUACACUAACCCCUCGCAAAGCAUCAGCCUGAAAAAGCGGUGCCGGAGCCCGCAAGGACGGGGAGGGAGGGCCGGGGCAAGGGGGCCACUUGCAAUAAACUUGCUCUGCACAAGGAUUCGGCGAGUCCU
This 1407-nucleotide long non-coding RNA is filed under the name Dromaius novaehollandiae (emu). RNAcentral describes it as "lncRNA (ENSDNVG00000008660.1)". Lineage: Eukaryota; Metazoa; Chordata; Aves; Casuariiformes; Dromaiidae. The record is from RNAcentral.